UAGGGAAUCUUCCACAAUGGACGCAAGUCUGAUGGAGCAACGCCGCGUGAGUGAAGAAGGCUUUCGGGAUCGUAAAACUCUGUUAUUGAAGAAGAACGUGCGUGAACAGUAACUGGUCAUGCAGUGACGGUAUUCAAAUCAGAAAGUCACGGCUAACUACGUGCCAGCAGCCGCGGUAAUACGUAGGUGGCAAGCGUUGUCCGGAUUUAUUGGGCGUAAAGCGAGUGCAGGCGGUCUUUUAAGUCUGAUGUGAAAGCCUUCGGCUUAACCGAAGAAGGGCAU
Molecule: ribosomal RNA, 282 nt
Filed under: uncultured bacterium
Lineage: Bacteria
Description: partial 16S ribosomal RNA
Rfam family: Bacterial small subunit ribosomal RNA
Source: RNAcentral